CCCCCGCACUCUGCGCUCCCAUCCCUCGCUCCUCCCGCCGCUCCCUCUCCUCUCCCUCCCGCCCCGCCUCUCUCUCUCCGUCCAAACCCUCCCUAACCCACGCCCGCCUCCCUGCCCCGCCGCCAGCCGCAGCCGCCGCCGCCGCCGCUCGCCGCGUCUCCCUCCAAACGCUCGCUGCGCCCGCCUCCUUGCCCCACGCCGCCGUCAUCUCCGCCGGCGCCCGCCUCCUCCGCCGCCUCCUCUCCACCGCCGCCGAGGUGGCACGGGAGGUGGCGCCCCCCGCGUCGUGGGCGUUGGCGCAGCCGCAGGUGGGGGCGGCGGCGUGGACGGAAUUGGGGCAGGGGCGUUCUUCGUGGCCGCAUCAGGCGUGGGCGCUGCCACAGGCGAAGCAGCAACAACAGUGAGGCUGUACACGGCGGAAGGGGAACAGGCGGGGUACACGACCAAGUGGGAGGAGCUCCGUCCGGUUUCGCAGCACCUUCUCCUGCAAAUCGAGGAGAAGAUAAGGGAUGAGAGGCAUGUGUGUGAGCAGGUGGAACAAUAACUGGAUGCUCGUCAGAUUACCCAGGUUUGGUUUUAUUCUCAGGGUGCUUUGUUCUUUAAUUUGCAGAACAUGUUUGAACAACGUUUCAGCCUUCACGGAUUAGUGUAGUAGCCUAACCAUUGCAGAAAAGGGGAAGAAAGUUAAACUGAACCUAAAUUCAGAUAUAUUUUGAUGAACGUCCAGUUAUCUGCUUGAAGAACAAAGGGUGCUUAAUACUGGUUUGGUUUAUUCUGUGAGCAGGUGGAACAAUUCAGGAUAAAACUGAACCUAAAUUCAGAUAUAUUUUGAACUAAUCAUAUAUUAGUUCCAAUUAGAUUAUAUGAGCAUAUCAGACUAGAUGGUCUCCUAGACCUUUAGAAGUUGAUAUUCUCUAUUUUUGGCCACAUCAUUUUUGUAAAAAUAGUAGAGUCGCUAACACAUCUGCACAACCUAUGGCUUAUUACAUAUAUAUGCUUGGUCUUCUGUUCUGCACAGCGAAACCAUGGGUUUUUUAUUCUAAGAAAAUGAUGUAUAUUGGUGUUGUAUCCACAAGAUCUAUGUAAGUUAGAAAUUUAGAAGUAAUGCCUUCCAUGGAAAUACAAGCAUUAUUUUAUUUCGUGGUAUGAUGAAAAAGUUCACCCUAGGUCCACUUGCUUUUAUUUGUUGUUUUUGUUCCGAUAAUGUCUGAUUUAUAGUUUCAAUUUCAUCAGCACAAAUAGACUCAAUGGUGUAAUGAUUCAGUUUCACAUAUAUUUUGUCAGUAUGGUAUUUAUGAUUUUUUUCCAUGAUCCAAGAUAUCAGAUUUAUGAGCUUCUGUUACUUGAUGCAAUUUCAAAAAGUGUCGGUAAGGUAAAAAUGAUCUAGAAGCUUAUUGCAUUCGAAAGUAGUUAUCGCAAGAAGAAGCAUGAGACACUAGCAGGUAUAUAAUGUCUAUUCUGCUUUCUAUUUGUUUUUUAGGUUCAGAUUACAAAUUCUUGCAUGAUGUAGAAGUUUCAACCGAAUGGUGCACCCUCAAAAUUGUGUUUUGUUAUGCACGAUGCAAGCUUCAGCAGCGCCACACCUAGAUUUUGAAUGGCUCAUAGCAGACUGUAUAUGGCUAACCUAUUGUAUGGCAUUCUUAUUUUUUGUCUAUAUGCAUUACUUCUAGAUUUACUUCUAUUGUUGCGCCAUCACAUGGAUCAAACACACUAAAAUAUGAUGUUGAUCUUGCACAAAAGGAAGAACGGUGGUGUCACAUAAGCAUGGCUCGACCUAGCCUUGAUCAUGGUAGCCUCUUAGGUGUUCCUACUUGCUACUAUCCAUGCUACCUGAAAACCCAGCUUAUUUCACCACCAGCUCCAAAGCAACGCCAGAAUGUAGGCAUCACCGUAUAUAAUUUUAUUGCAUAUUGCUCAACUCCUCUAUGAAUUUGCUUACAAGCGUGUGUGACUACACUUGCUAUGCACAUGUACUAUAGACAAGUCGGCAGGACCUCACAUCACAACACCUGAGUGAGUCUGGCAAGGCUUGCUCGCCAUGGCCUACCGCGUCGGCGAGACGGGGCGAGCACGUGAUCACCAUCAACAGGUCCUUUGUCACAACACCCUAGCAAGCGAGAUGUUUAGACAAAGAUAUAUGAUACAGUACUAUCAACAUAUGUCAUAGACGAACAAUAUAUAUCCUUCUCUUCACAAGCACAAGACUUGAUUUUGAUAAAUUGUGUUACCAUUUCUGCGGCAUCAACAUUUGGAAGGACACACCAUCUGAAUCCUCUAUAAUAACUGAACCAUUACUAUUACAAGCAACCUCCCACAUCUUCCUUCCAAAAAUUCAGAUGAUGGUUUAGUUGUUUAUAUACAUGUGCCAUCUCUUAUGUCUGAAAUAUAUAUUCUACUACCGGGCUGGCUGGCACCUGGCAGGCUGCACUUCCUAUCUACUUGUGACGCCCCAUCAUGUUGGUUUACAUUUGGAGCAAAAAUGCUGCUGAGCAUUUGGUGUGACUGAUUGCACUAUCCAUUUAGUGUUGUCUGGACAUAUGCUAUGUAGUGGACACAAUUAUUUAGAAAAAUGUCAAACCUUAACAUUUACAGGAAGCUUUACAUAUGUUUGGAUUAUGGGUCUGCUGUAGGUUUGCAUAGAUAAAUAAAUAGCACUCUUGCUAUCAAAGUGUGUGUUUCAUGGGCCUUUCUUUGUUUGAGGGAAAUAACUCAAUUUUUGUAUCAGCCAUACUUCUGCUAUAUAUAUGGAAACAAUCAGUGUCUAUUUCUUUUUUAUCUGAACUGAGACAUAAUUCUACUAUAUGUAAACAAUCAUUGGUUCUUUCUUUUUUAUCUAAACUGAGAAAUAACUCUAAUCAAUUGUUUUUUUAUUUAAUGUCUAAGUAUCUUCCUUACCCAAAACUUGUGCCAAAACUGGUAUUUCUUUCAUGUGUGCCUUGUGCCAUAUAUUAUCCAACCCCCUCUACUUCUGUACAGUUUUUUGUGGUGAAAGAUUACUGGCACCAUGUGAAUCUUAAGCUCCACCAUUUCCUAAUUUUUCUCUCCUGGUCGCCUCUAGGUUUCCUGGCAAGGCGAUGGUGUAUGAACCCUAUGCGCCUGCCUAGCUGUAUUGCGGCUCGAGGAUGCGGCGGAGGUGGCACAUGAGCAGAUGAAAGAGGAAUAAUUGAAGCCCCGAUGCCUCACACAUUCUUGCUCCCUGAUAAUGGAAGUACUAGGUUUCAAACUCCUUCCCCUUCCCUGAUAUUUACAAUUCCUUUUCGGUUAGCCAUCACCGAUGUUGACUGUUGACUGAAAUAUUUAGUUCUGUUGCUGGACACCUAAUAUCUGCACACGGUGUGUCCGCCAGCUGAGCGGCAAGCCGGAGCUGCAAGUCGCUGAACAUGGUCGUGCUACUGGCAACUCACUUGGGCAUGUAGUGAGGAUGGCUUAUGUUCAAGCACCUAAUGGAAUGUAUGCUUUUCCUUGAUGCUCCGUUCCUAAGAAAUUGCAUGAAGCUGGUGUCUGGUGAGCAAUCUGGCCUUGACCAUAGAGCCUUUCGUUUCUUCCGCAGUUCAUGCUUUAUAGAAGUGUCUACAUGCAUUUUCUAACUUGUGUUGCACCUACUUCCUGCGAAAUUCUCAUGCAUUGUCUCGAUAGCGAGCUAUUUAGCCAAAUGAGGUAUUCAACUGGACUACAUAUUUAGAUUCUUAGAUGAGCUAGACAGUGCCUGCAUUGUCUAGACAGCUACCUAGCAAAAUGAGUUAUUCGACCGAACAAUUUUGUUCGGAUGAUUGUCUUGGUGUUAGUAACCUAUGUAUUCAGAUUCCUACAUGAGCUUGAUAGAAAUUUGAAUAUGUAGGUGCAGUCUCACACAAAGAAAGAGAAAAGAUUCGGUGUCAACGACUCAUGAAUGGAAAUAAAAACACGAGCGGGAAUCAUUUACUGUUUUCCCUACCUUAGAGUAUAAUUAUAUGAUCGCUUCACGGUUCUUUCCCUGAAGAUGUUUGGUAUAUGCUCAUCUUGUGCAUUUUACCCUUUAGCUAAUUGCCCCCCCC
RNAcentral lists this ribosomal RNA (4034 nucleotides) under Triticum aestivum (bread wheat). Its description in RNAcentral is "partial small subunit ribosomal RNA". Lineage: Eukaryota; Viridiplantae; Streptophyta; Magnoliopsida; Poales; Poaceae. The record is from RNAcentral.